GACGAACGCUGGCGGCACGCUUAACACAUGCAAGUCGAACGAGAGAAGAGAAGCUUGCUUUUCUGAUCUAGUGGCGGACGGGUGAGUAACACGUGAGCAAUCUGCCUUUCAGAGGGGGAUACCGAUUGGAAACGAUCGUUAAUACCGCAUAAUAUAAUUGAACCGCAUGAUUUGAUUAUCAAAGAUUUAUCGCUGAAAGAUGAGCUCGCGUCUGAUUAGCUAGUUGGUAAGGUAACGGCUUACCAAGGCGACGAUCAGUAGCCGGACUGAGAGGUUGAUCGGCCACAUUGGGACUGAGACACGGCCCAGACUCCUACGGGAGGCAGCAGUGGGGAAUAUUGCACAAUGGAGGAAACUCUGAUGCAGCGAUGCCGCGUGAGGGAAGAAGGUUUUAGGAUUGUAAACCUCUGUCUUCAGGGACGAAAAAAGACGGUACCUGAGGAGGAAGCUCCGGCUAACUACGUGCCAGCAGCCGCGGUAAUACGUAGGGAGCAAGCGUUGUCCGGAAUUACUGGGUGUAAAGGGAGCGUAGGCGGGAUCGCAAGUCAGAUGUGAAAACUAUGGGCUUAACCCAUAAACUGCAUUUGAAACUGUGGUUCUUGAGUGAAGUAGAGGUAAGCGGAAUUCCUAGUGUAGCGGUGAAAUGCGUAGAUAUUAGGAGGAACAUCAGUGGCGAAGGCGGCUUACUGGGCUUUAACUGACGCUGAGGCUCGAAAGCGUGGGGAGCAAACAGGAUUAGAUACCCUGGUAGUCCACGCCGUAAACGAUGAUUACUAGGUGUGGGGGGACUGACCCCUUCCGUGCCGCAGCAAACGCAAUAAGUAAUCCACCUGGGGAGUACGACCGCAAGGUUGAAACUCAAAGGAAUUGACGGGGGCCCGCACAAGCAGUGGAGUAUGUGGAUUAAUUCGAAGCAACGCGAAGAACCUUACCAGGUCUUGACAUCGUAUGCAUAGCUCAGAGAUGAGUGAAAUCUCUUCGGAGACAUAUAGACAGGUGGUGCAUGGUUGUCGUCAGCUCGUGUCGUGAGAUGUUGGGUUAAGUCCCGCAACGAGCGCAACCCUUACUGUUAGUUGCUACGCAAGAGCACUCUAGCAGGACUGCCGUUGACAAAACGGAGGAAGGUGGGGAUGACGUCAAAUCAUCAUGCCCCUUAUGACCUGGGCCUCACACGUACUACAAUGGCUGUCAACAGAGGGAAGCAAAGCCGCGAGGUGGAGCGAACCCCUAAAAGCAGUCUUAGUUCGGAUUGUAGGCUGCAACCCGCCUACAUGAAGUCGGAAUUGCUAGUAAUCGCAGAUCAGCAUGCUGCGGUGAAUACGUUCCCGGGCCUUGUACACACCGCCCGUCACGCCAUGGGAGUCGGUAACACCCGAAGCCUGUAGUCUAACCGCAAGGAGGACGCAGUCGAAGGUGGGAUUGAUGACUGGGGUG
Molecule: ribosomal RNA, 1434 nt
Filed under: uncultured bacterium
Lineage: Bacteria
Description: bacterial SSU rRNA
Rfam family: Bacterial small subunit ribosomal RNA
Source: RNAcentral